UGGGCUCCAGAGGUGUUUUGAGUCUGU
This 27-nucleotide non-coding RNA is filed under the name Rattus norvegicus (Norway rat). The record is from RNAcentral. Lineage: Eukaryota; Metazoa; Chordata; Mammalia; Rodentia; Muridae.